GACGAACGCUGGCGGCGUGGAUUAGGCAUGCAAGUCGAACGGUAUCAUCCUUUCGGGGGGUGAGAGAGUGGCGAACUGGUGAGUAACACGUAGGUUAUCUACCCUCAAGACGGGGACAACCCAGGGAAACUUGGGCUAAUACCGGAUGUGAGCAACUUUUUAGUUGUUUGAAAGGUGGCGUAAGCUGUCGCUUGGGGAUGAGCCUGCGUCCUAUUAGUUAGUUGGUGAGGUAACGGCUCACCUAGGCAAUGAUAGGUAGGCGGCCUUAACGGGUGGUCGCCCACACUGGGAUUGAGAUACGGCCCAGACUCCUACGGGAGGCAGCAGUCGAGAAUAGUCUACAAUGGUCGGAAGACUGAUAGUGCGACGCCGCGUGAACGAUGAAUCCCUUCGGGGUUAAAGUUCUUUUAUAUGUGAGCAGUGCUUCUUAUAUUAACAGUAUGGGGAAGAGAUAUUAGCAUAUGAAUAAGCAACGGCUAACUCCGUGCCAGCAGCCGACGGUAAACCGA
RNAcentral lists this ribosomal RNA (509 nucleotides) under uncultured bacterium. RNAcentral describes it as "bacterial SSU rRNA". It matches the Rfam family "Bacterial small subunit ribosomal RNA", at positions 28 to 528 of the family's 1533-position model. The record is from RNAcentral.